RNAcentral lists this ribosomal RNA (253 nucleotides) under uncultured bacterium. Its description in RNAcentral is "partial 16S ribosomal RNA". It matches the Rfam family "Bacterial small subunit ribosomal RNA", at positions 524 to 776 of the family's 1533-position model. The record is from RNAcentral.
UACAGAGGGGGCAAGCGUUGUUCGGAAUUACUGGGCGUAAAGGGUGCGUAGGUGGCGGGGUAAGUCAGGUGUGAAAUCUCGGGGCUCAACCCCGAAACUGCACUUGAUACUGCCUUGCUCGAGUACUGGAGAGGAGAUUGGAAUUUACGGUGUAGCAGUGAAAUGCGUAGAUAUCGUAAGGAAGACCAGUGGCGAAGGCGAAUCUCUGGACAGUUACUGACACUGAGGCACGAAGGCCAGGGGAGCAAACGGG